UCGGGAGUUGCCAAAUUGUUAAGGCGCGGGAUCAGCUGCAGCAGGGAGGCUUAGGAAAGCUGCAAUAUCAGCUGUUCUGCAUUUCCGGUAACCUAAAUGGAAUGUAGGUUGUUCCAUGCUCGGUCUUUUCUUUCGAAACCACCCAGAAGUGCAGACGCCCAAAUAGUAUCUCUCUGCAAGUGUAAAUUUUAUCAGCGCAAGAGCAGCGCAAGUGCAGUGUUCAUUUUUUUAUUUAUCAACUACCAAAUUUGCAACGGUGAUAAGGGCAGCCUAAGCCUGUGUUUGUGGGUUUUUUUUGUUUUUGUUUCGCGGCUUUAUAAAAGCGCGACCUCGUGGCGGCCUUAUCAAAAUUUAUCAGGCGGUCCACCUCAAAGCACCCCGGGAGCGCUCCUGGUGGAGGCUCCCAGUUCAGGAGCGGCUUAACCUCGAUCGGGUAAUCCGUCUCCCCCCCUCAUCUUCACCAC
This 464-nucleotide small RNA is filed under the name Drosophila ananassae. RNAcentral's name for it is "GF27728". Lineage: Eukaryota; Metazoa; Arthropoda; Insecta; Diptera; Drosophilidae. The record is from RNAcentral.